AGAAAGGGUUUUGAUGAAGGCAAGAACCCCAAGAAGAGGAACACCCACCUAGUGUUCAGAAAGAUUGGAGAUUAAAAGCUCUCCCCAUUGACUCUACAUCAGCAUUGAAGCAGAAUCUGCCUCUCUCUAGGUGAUGUGUUUACUCCUACUUUACUGUCAUCAAUCUCUCCUUGCACAUGAAAAUAAUGACCACAUAGUUCUUAAAAGAGAUGGGACAGUACCAACCCAGCACUUCAGGAUGUUGGCUUUGCAGGGUGGUGCUCAAAAUACAGGGUAAGAAAUUUUGUUUCACUUUCUUAUUCCACUAGUUCUUAAAAAAAUACUCUGAUUUAUCCAAUGUGGUGCAAAAACAAGCCUGUAAAUCUUGAUGUAAUUGACAAAACAGAAAUCUUUUAUGGUCAAUCUUAAAUACCACACAUAAUAGUAUCCAGUGCCAUAUUCAAUCUAAUCCCAACAUCGGAGAGUUUUAUAUGCAAACCAUUGUGACAUUUCAAUAGCUAAUCACUUGCUUACCACAAAUGCCUUGAAAGAACUCUCAGAGCUCAAGAAAAUUAGAAGUUCUGUUAGUCGGAGACUUAGAUACUGUCAAAAGGGGGGGGAAAUCAAAAUUAAUAUUUUAAUUUGAACUUAACAAUUAUAGUAACAAUAAUAUACCACCCUUACAAAUCUUCCAAAAGAAUUCCUAAUUUGGCAGUGACAAAAGGAAGCAUAGAUGUUGGGUUUUUUUUUUUUUUUUUUGAGAGAAAAUAAUUAAUUCAACAUAAAGUGGAGAAGAAUAUGAAGCUGUUGAAGAUGUAAGUAACAUCUUCAAAUGAAUAAUCAUUACAAGAGGAAUCACUAUGAAGAUUUUAUGUGAAGAUUAGAAGCAAGUGGAGAAUACAGAGGUUAGGUUACAUCUUUAUCAGGAUUAUUUUAUUCAAGCUAUAUUAUUAUUCAAGCUAUUUUAUUCAAGUACAAGGAGCCUGCAAGGAUAACAAAACAAACAAACAAACAAACAAAAUUUUCUACAAAGCUCUUCAGCCAUGAUCAGUACUGACCUAAGUUCUGUAGGAUGUCAACUGAACUUUUCCAUGGUUUUUAAAGCUGACAGUUUAGUACAGGCAAUGCUCCUUAUUCAAACAGAGAUUUUGGCAUAAAUUAAACUUAUUAGUAAUGAUUGUCAAUCACACUGCUAACUUCUUUCAGUUAAAUAUAUUCCAGGAAUUUUAAAUACACUUAAGACUCAUGUUAUCCAAGGAACUAUUUUAAUCUAGCAUCUAAAUAGGACCUUCAGUAUUAUAGAUAUAGUUGCCAACGAUGUGUCCUUUUGUUAUAGUUUUAGAAAAGGGCAUAAGCGCAGUAGCCCACAGCCGUCAGUGUCUCUCUGAAGUGCAUAGUGGAAACAUGCAACCACACGUAAAUUUGUGGUUAGCUUCACCAGACAACAGAAAUAAUUUUAGAAGUAGACAGGUUUGGAUUUUUUCUUUCCCUCCUGAAUUCUGAGAUUGCUAGGAAUGUCUUUCUAUGAGAGUUAUUAUUCAUCAAAGUACCCAGCAAGCAGAACAGCUCAGAAGAGGCUGCACAACAUAGUCUAAAUUUCCAGAGUCUCUUUAUAGAAAUCAUGUUCACACCAGUGACAGGAUAAAUAUACAGAAGCAUAAACUGUACUGUUAAUGCUUUAGUAAAUCAUCAAAACCUUGAAGUUGUUUGGGAAUUUUUGUUCAGUGCUGUUAAUAGUUGCUGACUCCCUGGUAAUCAGAUACAAAGCACUGGACAAAUUCUUCUGCUGGAUACUGGGAGCCAGGUUCUACCUGGGCCAGUUAUGGGUGUACUUGUGCUUUUGAGGGAAGAUUUUGUUUCCAAAAUGUGCUACCAAAUUAAAGGCCUCUAACUACACUUCCAACUGCACAUCACUCAGAUAAAUAAAAAAGAAUCAUACCUUACAAUUGCAAUUCCAGUCUUACUCUGCCAGACUUGGUUGGGUCAGCUGAUGGUAAAAGGAAGAUGUUCUUUUAUUCUACUUUUUUGCAGAGAAAAAUUAAAAAAAUCUAAACAUACAGAAAUACAUCAGGACACAAACAGAAGCAAGAUUUGUAGUAUAUACAUAAUUGUUAAACAUUUUUAAAACAUAUAUUUCAUUUAUGUAUCAGACAUAAAAAAAUAAUAAUAAUAAAAAAAAAAGC
Long non-coding RNA from Gallus gallus (chicken), 2162 nucleotides. The record is from Ensembl. Lineage: Eukaryota; Metazoa; Chordata; Aves; Galliformes; Phasianidae.